UUAUCAGUUGGAAAUUUGGUUUAAUUUCCAUCAUUGAAGUUGAAACUCGUACUUCUUGGACAUGAAGUCAUAAUGAGAGGUUUCGUAAGAAAUCAACUCCUUCAAUUAUUGUUGCUUCGUCAGUGGCGUCAAGUAGUCCGAAUUCUGUUCCACUCACAAAUUUGUCUCCAGAAAAUUCUUCACAAGCCUCAGAUGACGUCACUGAUCUCAAUUACUCCCAAGGGUCUGGCAACCAUGGUCGUGGUGUCCGUAAUGGUCGAGGAGGUGGUCGUAGUACCUUGGAUGUCAAGUGUGUCAUACGUAUGACCAUGAUGC
RNAcentral lists this long non-coding RNA (315 nucleotides) under Medicago truncatula (barrel medic). Its description in RNAcentral is "long non-coding RNA (MTRU_LNC006862)". Lineage: Eukaryota; Viridiplantae; Streptophyta; Magnoliopsida; Fabales; Fabaceae. The record is from RNAcentral.